AACGCACCUUGCGCUCCUUGGUAUUCCGAGGAGCAUGCCUGUUUGAGUGUCAUGAAAUUAUCAACCAUUUCAACUUUUAUCGGUUGAAUUAGGCUUGGAUGUGGGAGUCUUUGCUGGCUUCGCAAGAGGUUGGCUCUCCUUAAAUUCAUUAGCAGGACCUUUGUUGCUCCCCAGCAUUAGUGUGAUAAUUAUCUACGUUAUUGCUGAAAAGUAACUUUAGAUUGGGUUUCCAGCUUCUAAUUGUCUUUGUAGACACAUAAUGUAUAUGUCAAUUUGACCUCAAAUCAGGUAGGACUACCCGCUGAACUUAA
RNAcentral lists this unclassified non-coding RNA (311 nucleotides) under uncultured Tricholoma. Its description in RNAcentral is "sequence contains ITS2". The stretch from base 1 to 52 matches the Rfam family "5.8S ribosomal RNA", at positions 103 to 154 of the family's 154-position model. The record is from RNAcentral. Lineage: Eukaryota; Fungi; Basidiomycota; Agaricomycetes; Agaricales; Tricholomataceae.